CCUGGCCUCCGCAGGCAGUGCACACCAUUUCUCCAGAGACAGGGAAACUGAUGUCCAGAGAAUAUCAGGAAACUGAAGCUUCCCAGGCCCCAACUCCUCUGCUUCUUGACACCAGAAUCCACCAUCCACCAUGGAGACAGACAACCAAGAACAUCUACCUGCAGAUUCCCUUAUCUCACCACCUCCCUGCCUGCAAGCAGCCUCACCAGGCUAAAUGCUUUCCCUCACAAGGGAAAGUGCAAAUGCAAGGUCACAGGGUCCGCCUCCCUACAAGCAGAAAAGGUUUACAACACUUUACCCACUUCUUCAUGGGGAGCCAGCAGUUCUUAAGGUGCUAGCCUGCUGCAUGAUCCUUUUGCCUGGC
This is a long non-coding RNA of Equus caballus (horse), 364 nucleotides long. NCBI's taxonomy places the organism in Eukaryota, Metazoa, Chordata, Mammalia, Perissodactyla, Equidae. The record is from Ensembl.